Molecule: ribosomal RNA, 253 nt
Filed under: uncultured bacterium
Lineage: Bacteria
Description: partial 16S ribosomal RNA
Rfam family: Bacterial small subunit ribosomal RNA
Source: RNAcentral
UACGUAGGGUGCAAGCGUUAAUCGGAAUUAUUGGGCGUAAAGCGUGCGCAGGCGGUUUUGUAAGCCAGGUGUGAAAUCCCCGGGCUCAACCUGGGAAUGGCAUUUGGGACUGCAAGGCUGGAGUGUGGCAGAGGAGACUGGAAUUCCUGGUGUAGCAGUGAAAUGCGUAGAUAUCAGGAGGAAUACCGAUGGCGAAGGCAGGUCUCUGGGCUGACACUGACGCUCAUGCACGAAAGCGUGGGGAGCAAACAGG